AUUGAACGCUAGCGGGAUGCCUUACACAUGCAAGUCGAACGGCAGCACGGACUUCGGUCUGGUGGCGAGUGGCGAACGGGUGAGUAAUGUAUCGGAACGUGCCCAGUAGCGGGGGAUAACUACGCGAAAGCGUAGCUAAUACCGCAUACGCCCUACGGGGGAAAGGGGGGGAUCUUAGGACCUCUCACUAUUGGAGCGGCCGAUAUCGGAUUAGCUAGUUGGUGGGGUAAAGGCCUACCAAGGCGACGAUCCGUAGCUGGUUUGAGAGGACGACCAGCCACACUGGGACUGAGACACGGCCCAGACUCCUACGGGAGGCAGCAGUGGGGAAUUUUGGACAAUGGGGGAAACCCUGAUCCAGCCAUCCCGCGUGUGCGAUGAAGGCCUUCGGGUUGUAAAGCACUUUUGUCAGGGAAGAAAAGGUUUCGGAUAAUACCCGGAACUGAUGACGGUACCUGAAGAAUAAGCACCGGCUAACUACGUGCCAGCAGCCGCGGUAAUACGUAGGGUGCAAGCGUUAAUCGGAAUUACUGGGCGUAAAGCGUGCGCAGGCGGUUCGGAAAGAAAGAUGUGAAAUCCCAGGGCUCAACCUUGGAACUGCAUUUUUAACUACCGAACUAGAGUAUGUCAGAGGGGGGUGGAAUUCCACGUGUAGCAGUGAAAUGCGUAGAUAUGUGGAGGAACACCGAUGGCGAAGGCAGCCCCCUGGGAUAAUACUGACGCUCAUGCACGAAAGCGUGSGGAGCAAACCAGAUUAGAUACCCUGGUUAGUCCACSCCCU
Molecule: ribosomal RNA, 781 nt
Filed under: uncultured Advenella sp.
Lineage: Bacteria; Pseudomonadati; Pseudomonadota; Betaproteobacteria; Burkholderiales; Alcaligenaceae
Description: bacterial SSU rRNA
Rfam family: Bacterial small subunit ribosomal RNA
Source: RNAcentral